CAGAAACCAAAUGAGAGGAUGAAAACAAAUACUGUUUAUGGAAAUGGCAUUCAUCACCAAGGCAGAAACUGUAUACUGCAUACUAUUCUAGAUCAUUAUUGAAGAUUACGAAAAAUUUCCGCCUUACCUAUAAAGGUUUUCACAGGGAAAGGCCACAACCAAAUCCACAAACAAGGGAUUGUCCAGAUAGUGUGUCUGUUAGGCUAUAUAUGCAUCACUCUGCUCACCUGUUUCAUAGCAUCAAGCUGUAAGCCAAAGAUUGUCAGAAUUUCAACAAUCAAGAGAGUGUCCAGGUGUCCAGAUUACGUAGUUGUGACUUGCCAUUUUUCUGAAACAAGAAAUUUAGGCUUGAACAAAAAAGUGGAAGAGUUGGCAGAGCAUUCAAAGAUAAAGAUUUAAUAAACUUGCUGGAAUAUAUAUGUUGUAAGGCAUGCCAAAAUUUAACAGUAUAACAUACAUCAAGAUAAGCUCAGCAGGUUUGUGCAGAAGGAUCCAAUGCUGCUCUGAAGAAUAAAGCAGUUACUGAGAAUAUAUGAAUACAUG
Long non-coding RNA from Ictalurus punctatus (channel catfish), 543 nucleotides. NCBI's taxonomy places the organism in Eukaryota, Metazoa, Chordata, Actinopteri, Siluriformes, Ictaluridae. The record is from Ensembl.